Oenanthe melanoleuca is the source of this 613-nucleotide long non-coding RNA. RefSeq lists it as uncharacterized. Lineage: Eukaryota; Metazoa; Chordata; Aves; Passeriformes; Muscicapidae. The transcript is spliced from 3 exons. The record is from RefSeq and is a predicted model, not a curated record.
GUGCCGGGUAUGUCCCAGAGUGCCAUGCGUGCCCCUCAGUGCCAGGUGUGCCCAAGAGGGCCAGGUGUGCCCUGAACCUGUCCCAGGUGUGCCCCUGAGUGCCAGGUGUGUCCCAGGACCCAUUCCAGGUGUGCCCCUGAGCCCAUCCCAGGUGUGUCCUUCAGUGCCAGGUGUGCCCCAGAGCACCAGGUGUGUCCCUGAGCCCAUCCCAGGUGUGCCCCUGAGUGCCAGGUGUGUCCCAGGACCCAUUCCAGGUGUGCCCCUGAGCCCAUUCCAGGUGUGUCCUUCAGUGCCAGGUGUGCCCCAGAGCACCAGGUGUGUCCCAGGGCCCAUCCCAGGUGUGCCCCUGAGCCCAUUCCAGGUGUGCCCCUGAGCCCAUCCCAGGUGUGCCCCUGAGUUCCAGAUGUGCCCUGAACCCAUCCCAGGUGUGUCCCAGGGCCCAUCCCAGGUGUGCCCCUCAGUCCCAGGUGUGCCCCUGAGUUCCAGGUGUGUCCCAAACCCCAGGAUCCCUCCCUUGCCACAUCCCAUUCCCCUGGAGCUGCUGCCAUUCCUGGCCCUGCUGGGAUGGAUUUCGUGGGGUUUGGGAUCCCCCUGAGCCUGCCAGGGUUUUGGG